GGCCAAGGGAAAAGAUGUUAGAAUCAGAGUUAUUUUGGAAUGCAUCAGUUGUGUUCGAAAAGGUGCCAAUGAGGAAUCGACGGGGAUUUCUAGAUAUAGUACUCAAAAGAAUCGCCACAAUACACCCGGACAAUUAGAAUUCAAAAAAUUUGUCGUUAUUGUCGCAAGCAUACGACUCAUCACGAAAUAAAGAAAUAGGAACAUCGUGUGUUCGAUCUUUCCAAACAACAGAAAGAGUAAGAACUUCAUAUUUAAUAUAUAAAGAAAACAUAGUAUAGAAUACAAAAUACAAAUCAACUCAUCCGAUUUCCGGUAGAUAUUAUUUCAUAUGUAUAGAGGGUAUUCAUAUACUAUAAUAUGAAUCAAAUAAGAUAUGGAUCAAAGAAAAACUACUUCUUCUGGAUCCUAAAUUAAUAAAAUAAAGAAGUGAAUUUUCAAAUUUUCAAAUUUUAAAUAAGGAAUAAAUCAUGUAUACAUCUAAACAACCUUUUCUUAAAUCUAAGCAACCCUUUAGUAAAUCCAAGCAAACUUUUAAUAAAUCCAAGCAACCCUUUCGUAAAUCCAAGCAAACUUUUCGUAAAUUCAAGCAACCUUUUCGUAAAUCUAAACAACCUUUUCGUAGGCGUCCCCGGAUUGGCCCGGGAGAUCGAAUUGAUUAUAGAAACAUGAGUUUAAUUAAUAGAUUUAUUAGUGAACAAGGAAAAAUAUUAUCGAGACGAAUAAAUAGAUUAACCUUGAAACAACAACGAUUAAUUACUCUUGCUAUAAAACAGGCUCGUAUUUUAUCUUUCUUACCGUUUCGUAACUAUGAGAACGAAAAGCAAUUUCAAGCCCAGUCAAUUUCAAUAAUUACAGGUUCUAGACCCAGAAAAAAUAGACAUAUUCCUCAAUUAACGCAAAAGUACAAUUCCAAUCGAAACUUAAGAAACAACAACCAAAAUUUAAGAAACAACAACCGGAACUUAAGUUCCGAUUGUUGAUGUUUUAUUCGAAUUCGAAAGGGCCAGACCUAUAUAUAUUAUAAAGAAAGUAAUCCAGCUCGUUGAUUCCUACCACUUAAUCUUAAUUUAUUGUAUCUUCCCGGAGUUCCCUCUCCGGGAAUUCAUC
This 1107-nucleotide ribosomal RNA is filed under the name Triticum aestivum (bread wheat). Its description in RNAcentral is "partial small subunit ribosomal RNA". Lineage: Eukaryota; Viridiplantae; Streptophyta; Magnoliopsida; Poales; Poaceae. The record is from RNAcentral.